Molecule: small nuclear RNA, 165 nt
Organism: Peromyscus leucopus (white-footed mouse)
Lineage: Eukaryota; Metazoa; Chordata; Mammalia; Rodentia; Cricetidae
Product: U1 spliceosomal RNA
Exons: 1
Source: RefSeq, a predicted model, not a curated record
AUACGGACCGGACAGGUGAGAUAGCAUCAACAGGAAGGUGUGUCUCCCAGGCAAUGCUCAUCUGUUGCCCUUGGGGUGUGCUGACUCUUUUUUUUUAAUUUUCCCAGAUGCAAGAAACCCAGCUGCAUAAUUUGUGGUAGUGGGGAUUGCAUUUGUGUCUCCUUG